Molecule: long non-coding RNA, 631 nt
Organism: Pseudophryne corroboree (corroboree frog)
Lineage: Eukaryota; Metazoa; Chordata; Amphibia; Anura; Myobatrachidae
Exons: 2
Source: RefSeq, a predicted model, not a curated record
ACCACCGCACCCAGAGUUUUCCGGCUUUUGCUAUCUACAAACUCGAGUCUGCACUGCAGUUGGCCCACCACACCAGGAGUCACGUCAGCUCUGUGAAGGCGGACCGGCGGCAGGAUGUCCGAUCCUCCUGACUGAGAUUUUCCAUGUCUUCAGAGGUCAUGGGCACAGCCACAGACAUUUUGCGGUACCUGGUGUUAUCAGUUAGCUUCAGGAUACAUGAGCAAUGAACUAUUUCCUACACUAUUAUAUCCUGAAAGAAUUAGCAUUACUACACUUGCUACCAGUUUGCUUCUAUCUCAUCCCAAGGAGAAAUUUAUCCUGCGGCUCUGCCACUGCUAUAUAAGAACUGAAAGAUUGUUGUUGUAUCAUAUUUAUCUCAAGCUUACAUUACAUUUUCAAUACUUACCAAAGCAGAAGUAACAUUACUUUGACAUUUACAGUAUGCCUUCAAUGUGGAUAAUCAGUUUCAACAACUUGUCCAGAUAUCUUCUUUAUCUUUGCUGGAAUGUUCCAACAAGAAAACAAGGGUUUAAUAUUUGUUGCUUUCCCUACAAGCAGUAGAAGAAUUUGUCGGGAUGCAAUGAUACAAAUAAAUUAAUAUUAUAAAUAAAUCUCUCCGAAAGGUCCUGUC